AACAAUUACUCUGAAUUGAAACAGGUACCACGGCAAGAAAAGGAACAGAGUGAAAAAUGGACAUCACAGAGAGACAAAAGGAAUCUGGCCGGGAAACACUUACCUGUGAGAAGUGCUGCUGUUACCAUUGAAAGUACUCCCUGAAGAAGAUCCCAGUGAUGAAUAUGACUGUACUGUGUGCCUAAAAUGUACCAAUAAACUCAAUGAGAAAAGAAGAAAGAAAGUACUCCCUGAAAGCCAUCAUUUUCCCCAGCAACCUUAUCUUCUAGUCAAGAGGAUGAAAUCUCCAGA
This 291-nucleotide long non-coding RNA is filed under the name Fukomys damarensis (Damara mole-rat). RNAcentral describes it as "lncRNA (ENSFDAG00000021672.1)". The record is from RNAcentral. Lineage: Eukaryota; Metazoa; Chordata; Mammalia; Rodentia; Bathyergidae.